UACGGAGGAUGCGAGCGUUAUCCGGAUUUAUUGGGUUUAAAGGGUGCGUAGGCGGGCUUUUAAGUCAGCAGUAAAAAUUCGGGGCUCAACCCCGUCCGGCCGUUGAAACUGGGGGUCUUGAGUGGGCGAGAAGAAGGCGGAAUGCGUGGUGUAGCGGUGAAAUGCAUAGAUAUCACGCAGAACCCCGAUUGCGAAGGCAGCCUUCCGGCGCCCUACUGACGCUGAGGCACGAAAGUGCGGGGAUCGAACAGG
Molecule: ribosomal RNA, 252 nt
Filed under: uncultured bacterium
Lineage: Bacteria
Description: partial 16S ribosomal RNA
Rfam family: Bacterial small subunit ribosomal RNA
Source: RNAcentral